CCUACGGGAGGCAGCAGUGAGGAAUAUUGGUCAAUGGCCGGAAGGCUGAACCAGCCAUGCCGCGUGAAGGUCAGUGCCCUAUGGGCGUUAAACUUCUUUUGUGCGGGAGCAAUAAUGGUCACGUGUGGCCAGACGAGAGUACCGUACGAAUAAGCAUCGGCUAACUCCGUGCCAGCAGCCGCGGUAAUACGGGGGAUGCAAGCGUUAUCCGGAUUUAUGGGGGUUAAAGGGUGCGUAGGCUGUGAGGUAAGUCAGCGGUGAAAUGCCCCCGCUCAAAGGGGUGAAGUGCCAUUGAUACUGCCUUGCUUGAAUGCGGAUGCGGUGGGAGGAAGGUGUGGUGUAGCGGUGAAAUGCAUAGAUAUCACACAGAACACCGAUUGCGAAGGCAUCUCACGAAUCCGCGAUUGACGCUGAUGCACGAAAGCGUGGGUAUCAAACAGGAUUAGAUACCCUUGUAGUC
RNAcentral lists this ribosomal RNA (460 nucleotides) under uncultured bacterium. RNAcentral's name for it is "partial 16S ribosomal RNA". It matches the Rfam family "Bacterial small subunit ribosomal RNA", at positions 338 to 795 of the family's 1533-position model. The record is from RNAcentral.